CUACGGGGCGCUCCAGUAGGGAAUAUUGGACAAUGGGCGAAAGCCUGAUCCAGCAACGCCGCGUGCACGAUGACGGCCUUCGGGUUGUAAAGUGCUUUUAGAGGAGAUGAGAAAGGACAGUAUCCUCUGAAUAAGCCUCGGCGAACUACGUGCCAGCAGCCGCGGUAAAACGUAGGAGGCAAGCGUUAUCCGGAUUUAUGGGGCGUAAAGCGCGUGCAGGCGGUUUGACAAGUUGGAUGUGAAAGCUCCCGGCUUAACUGGGAGAGGUCGUUCAAAACUGUCAGACUAGAGAAUGGGAGAGGGAGGUGGAAUUCCGGGUGUAGUGGUGAAAUGCGUAGAUAUCCGGAGGAACACCAGUGGCGAAAGCGGCCUCCUAGACCAUUUCUGACGCUAAGACGCGAAAGCUAGGGUAGCAAACGGGAUUAGAUACCCCGGUAGUC
Molecule: ribosomal RNA, 440 nt
Filed under: uncultured bacterium
Lineage: Bacteria
Description: partial 16S ribosomal RNA
Rfam family: Bacterial small subunit ribosomal RNA
Source: RNAcentral